UGGGCGCAAGCCUGAUGCAGCGACGCCGCGUGAGGGAUGACGGCCUUCGGGUUGUAAACCUCUUUCAGUACCGACGAAGCGCAAGUGACGGUAGGUACAGAAGAAGCACCGGCCAACUACGUGCCAGCAGCCGCGGUAAUACGUAGGGUGCGAGCGUUGUCCGGAAUUACUGGGCGUAAAGAGCUCGUAGGCGGUUUGUCGCGUCGUCUGUGAAAACCCGCAGCUCAACUGCGGGCUUGCAGGCGAUACGGGCAGACUUGAGUACUGCAGGGGAGACUGGAAUUCCUGGUGUAGCGGUGAAAUGCGCAGAUAUCAGGAGGAACACCGGUGGCGAAGGCGGGUCUCUGGGCAGUAACUGACGCUGAGGAGCGAAAGCGUGGGUAGCGAACAGGAUUAGAUACCCUGGUAGUCCACGCCGUAAACGGUGGGCGCUAGGUGUGGGUUUCCUUCCACGGGAUCCGUGCCGUAGCUAACGCAUUAAGCGCCCCGCCUGG
This 494-nucleotide ribosomal RNA is filed under the name Rhodococcus ruber. RNAcentral describes it as "bacterial SSU rRNA". It matches the Rfam family "Bacterial small subunit ribosomal RNA", at positions 372 to 876 of the family's 1533-position model. Lineage: Bacteria; Bacillati; Actinomycetota; Actinomycetes; Mycobacteriales; Nocardiaceae. The record is from RNAcentral.